RNAcentral lists this transfer RNA (73 nucleotides) under Camelus bactrianus (Bactrian camel). It matches the Rfam family "tRNA". From Rfam's summary of the family: Transfer RNA (tRNA) molecules are approximately 80 nucleotides in length. RNAcentral also lists the same sequence under 2 other names. Lineage: Eukaryota; Metazoa; Chordata; Mammalia; Artiodactyla; Camelidae. The record is from Rfam by way of RNAcentral.
GAGGGUAUAGCUCAGUGUUAGAGUGCAGUACUUAGCAUGCACAAGGUCCUAGGUUCAAUCCCCAGUACCUCCA